Lampris incognitus (smalleye Pacific opah) is the source of this 585-nucleotide long non-coding RNA. RefSeq lists it as uncharacterized. The transcript has 3 exons. NCBI's taxonomy places the organism in Eukaryota, Metazoa, Chordata, Actinopteri, Lampriformes, Lampridae. The record is from RefSeq and is a predicted model, not a curated record.
GUGGAGCGCCUGAAGAUUGCGGUGUGACGAGGCUCUGACUCCGUAGUAAGUAAAGACGCUACUGGAGUUGAUGUUCGGUGAUUUUGGGCGCGAGCCGUCGACCGCUGUUCGCCAUUGCAGGCAUGACAAGGCAUGACUUUUCCCAGUAAAUCAUGUUGUAGCGAAUUCGGGAGGCAACCACAGGAACUGCCACGACCGGGAAGCGAACCCGUAUCGCCCGCACCGAAGGAGACAUCACUAACCGCUCGACUCAAGGAUCAGACCCGUCAGCCAGCGGCCAACGUGUCUACUUAUCCAUGCACGUUACAAUAUUAACGGCACAGGAAGAAGCCUCCCCACCCCCCCAAGUAGCGGGCUAGCGCAAUGGCGGAUGAUACAGGUCGAUUCAAGAUGGUGAUCUGUGCGGCUUGAGUGUGGUGAGCUCUGAAGCUAUAAAUUGUACCACAACAAAAAGAGAAAGAUAAACCAAGAAUUAUGACUGAUGUGCCUACGUAUUGAAAAAGAAGAACAUUAUGAGUAAAAGGAACGGAAUAUCACCUAACACGAAUUUCUUGUAAAAUAAACCUGGCAUGUGUUGCACUCUUG